UACGUAGGGGACAAGCGUUGUCCGGAUUUACUGGGCGUAAAGGGCACGCAGGCGGUUUUUAAGUCAGAUGUGAAAGGUACCGGCUCAACCGGUGACAUGCAUUUGAAACUGAAAGACUUGAGUAUUGGAGAGGCAAGUGGAAUUCCUAGUGUAGCGGUGAAAUGCGUAGAUAUUAGGAGGAACACCGGUGGCGAAGGCGGCUUGCUGGACAAAUACUGACGCUGAGGUGCGAAAGCGUGGGGAGCAAACA
RNAcentral lists this ribosomal RNA (250 nucleotides) under uncultured archaeon. RNAcentral describes it as "partial 16S ribosomal RNA". It matches the Rfam family "Bacterial small subunit ribosomal RNA", at positions 524 to 774 of the family's 1533-position model. The record is from RNAcentral.